Molecule: ribosomal RNA, 709 nt
Filed under: Escherichia coli
Lineage: Bacteria; Pseudomonadati; Pseudomonadota; Gammaproteobacteria; Enterobacterales; Enterobacteriaceae
Description: partial 23S ribosomal RNA
Rfam family: Bacterial large subunit ribosomal RNA
Source: RNAcentral
GGGCGUUAAGUUGCAGGGUAUAGACCCGAAACCCGGUGAUCUAGCCAUGGGCAGGUUGAAGGUUGGGUAACACUAACUGGAGGACCGAACCGACUAAUGUUGAAAAAUUAGCGGAUGACUUGUGGCUGGGGGUGAAAGGCCAAUCAAACCGGGAGAUAGCUGGUUCUCCCCGAAAGCUAUUUAGGUAGCGCCUCGUGAAUUCAUCUCCGGGGGUAGAGCACUGUUUCGGCAAGGGGGUCAUCCCGACUUACCAACCCGAUGCAAACUGCGAAUACCGGAGAAUGUUAUCACGGGAGACACACGGCGGGUGCUAACGUCCGUCGUGAAGAGGGAAACAACCCAGACCGCCAGCUAAGGUCCCAAAGUCAUGGUUAAGUGGGAAACGAUGUGGGAAGGCCCAGACAGCCAGGAUGUUGGCUUAGAAGCAGCCAUCAUUUAAAGAAAGCGUAAUAGCUCACUGGUCGAGUCGGCCUGCGCGGAAGAUGUAACGGGGCUAAACCAUGCACCGAAGCUGCGGCAGCGACACUGUGUGUUGUUGGGUAGGGGAGCGUUCUGUAAGCCUGUGAAGGUGUACUGUGAGGUAUGCUGGAGGUAUCAGAAGUGCGAAUGCUGACAUAAGUAACGAUAAAGCGGGUGAAAAGCCCGCUCGCCGGAAGACCAAGGGUUCCUGUCCAACGUUAAUCGGGGCAGGGUGAGUCGACCCCUAAGG